GAUGAACGCUGGCGGCGUGCCUAAUACAUGCCAGUCGAGCGAACGGACGAGAAGCUUGCUUCUCUGAUGUUAGCGGCGGACGGGUGAGUAACACGUGGAUAACCUACCUAUAAGACUGGGAUAACUUCGGGAAACCGGAGCUAAUACCGGAUAAUAUUUUGAACCGCAUGGUUCAAAAGUGAAAGACGGUCUUGCUGUCACUUAUAGAUGGAUCCGCGCUGCAUUAGCUAGUUGGUAAGGUAACGGCUUACCAAGGCAACGAUGCAAAGCCGACCUGAGAGGGUGAUCGGCCACACUGGAACUGAGACACGGUCCAGACUCCUACGGGAGGCAGCAGUAGGGAAUCUUCCGCAAUGGGCGAAAGCCUGACGGAGCAACGCCGCGUGAGUGAUGAAGGUCUUCGGAUCGUAAAACUCUGUUAUUAGGGAAGAACAUAUGUGUAAGUAACUGUGCACAUCUUGACGGUACCUAAUCAGAAAGCCACGGCUAACUACGUG
This 497-nucleotide ribosomal RNA is filed under the name uncultured bacterium. Its description in RNAcentral is "partial 16S ribosomal RNA". It matches the Rfam family "Bacterial small subunit ribosomal RNA", at positions 28 to 507 of the family's 1533-position model. The record is from RNAcentral.